CUAAAAGUAGGUUAAGUAAACUGUAGAUCUGUGGAGUCUGAUAUCUCAUCUGAGCUUUUAGU
Molecule: transfer RNA, 62 nt
Filed under: Carychium tridentatum
Lineage: Eukaryota; Metazoa; Mollusca; Gastropoda; Ellobiida; Ellobiidae
Description: tRNA-His
Source: RNAcentral